GGACUAACUGUGUUUGAUGGGAGUCUGCUGGGUUUGACUUGGAAACAGGUGUCCUAUUCAUUCCCGAGAGUGUGUUCAGGUGCUCACCUGGGGUGCCAGACUAGAAGCUGGAAGCCGUGUUCCUUCCCAAGACCUGUUAGAAGAGCUGAGUCCUCGAAGACAAAUGUCACCCUCUCACAAUAAAUGUCCUGACUGCCACGUCUUUGCGGUGGAGCAGAAUUGCCAGACUAAACCGUGCUUAGAUUUUUCUCGUGUGGCACGGGUAUUUUCUUUGGAAGCACUGGAUUCACUAAUUGGUGAUGAGUCUAUACGAUGUGGAAUGAAGAGACUACACCCACCCUGGAAGGGGCUGUGUGCUUCCACUGUGACUGGAAUAAUCUCUGGAAGAGUCUUUGGGAGACCCUGGUUUCUGGAGUACUUACUGGGAGAAAGGCCACAACUGCAGAGCUACACACAGGCCUACUACAGGCAGAGACCACUCCAUAAAGUCGCCACUGGUGAAAAUACAACCUGUAAAAAAGGACAACCAGCCGUGGGAUGCCCAGCCCCAGCUGAUCCAUCUACAGCACAACUUUGACGCCUAGGCUCAGAGGACAUUGAGGAAGAGGGGGUAGAAAGAGCUGGGGAGACAGAACAUCUGCCAUGGGGCUGUGUCUCUGCAUACGACAGACAACCCACACCCAUGAAGCCUCACCAGUGUAGCUGCUUCCACAAGACCCGGACAAGGACAAUACCGGUUGCCAUACCAACGCAGAAGGAGGAAAUUUCAAGAGGCACCAGCAACAGGACCUCACUGAAGUAGCACACCAAGAACAAACACCCUCAUAGAUGCAUGAAAGAUGACACAACUGCUCACUGUAGCAAGAAAAGGACUCAAAGGGUGCGCCAGGGUGCAGGACGGCUUCAAAGUGUCUGCUGCGUUGGCUCCACCGAUGGCUGGGAAGACUCCAAGCAGUGUUAUUCUUGGUACACUUCUCAACCUCUGCCUUUUACCCAUCCACAUUUAUGCGCGGGUCCGAGCAGCAAGUCGCGAUUAACAGAGCACGUAUCAGUGACAAGAGUGACAGAGUAGAGUGACGAGUAGCUGCAUUGUCAUCAGUGUAGCCCAGAGCUGCGCUCUGAUCUACAAAGGGCUGGGCAGAACAAUCCGGAUUUCUUUGUCAUCGUCUUAAAUACGUCUGCACGGCUGGAGAUAGAUGAUGUGACCCAAUGCUCUCAUUUUGUAGGGUUUUCACUAAGAUGAUGCCUGAUUUGUGCCUGCUAUUUUUUCUAGCCCCAACUUGACUGAGUCCUCGAUUUCUUAUCUAAGGCUUUGGAAGCCUCCAGGGAGGUGAAUGUCUCUACCUGCUCCUCACCCCUAACUCCUUAAGAAAACAGACUUUUCUUUAUGGUAGAAAAAGCACAGGUUUGCUGAACUGUCCUGAAUCCUGAAACCACAGGUCUGGAGUACACUGUCUACUGCUCUGCUCUUUCUGAAACAGUGUGGGAUUCCCCUGACUCUGAAGACCGUUGGAGAUAGCGGUAAAGGAGGAGACCCCGUGUAGGAGGAAAGUGAUGGUGCCUGGGGUUCUGCUCAGCUCCGGGGCUCCCUUGCUUGCUGGGAAGUCUCCUCUCCUCCAAAUAUGUCAAAUAAUGAUAAUCACACCAAUACUUACUGUUUACAAGAUCUGGUUCCAGCCUAUGAGGAUGACCCCAGUGAUGACUCCUAGUAAUGGGGGCUACGGAGCCGGGCCCAGCCAUCUUUGGUAACCUGGUGAGGCUCUCACUGGUGGGACCGGGAGGCAAAUCCUUCAACCCACAUCCAUCCUGCCUUCAGGAUGUGCUGGGACAAGGGUGGCUCAGAGCUUGUGGAAGUGACGCCAAUGACUGAUUGGUCUAACUUGAGGCUGAAGCCAGGAGAGGGAGCCCAGGCCCAUCACUGCCUUGACGGCUAGGAAACAGAAGCUGGAUGGCUUGAGACCUAGGGUAGAACAAAAUACAACUGACAAAAGAAAAGUCAAUGAAGUGAUUUCUAAAGAUACUCUGCUGCACUCUUAGAUAGGUGUUUAGCCCAAUCGUCACCAGAGGGGCUUCCUUUGGCAGCUGAUGGGUGCAGAUGCAGAGACCCACACACAAACUCCAGGCAGAACUUGGGGAACCCCAUGGAAGAUGGGUAGGAAGGUUUGUAAGAGGGGUCUGGGACACUAGGAGAACAAGGCCCAUAGAAUCAACUAAGCAGGCCUCAUAGAGGCUCACAGAGACUUAAGUAACAAUCAUGGUUGUUUAGCUUUGGGUGUCUGUGGAACUCCUUACAGGAGGA
Long non-coding RNA from Mesocricetus auratus (golden hamster), 2299 nucleotides. RefSeq lists it as uncharacterized. The record is from RefSeq and is a predicted model, not a curated record. The transcript is spliced from 5 exons. Lineage: Eukaryota; Metazoa; Chordata; Mammalia; Rodentia; Cricetidae.